CUAGUAACUGCGAGUGAAGCGGGAAUAAGCUCAAAUUUAAAAUCUGGCGGUCUUUGGCCGUCCGAGUUGKAGUCUGGAGAAGUGCUUUCCGCGCUGGACCGUGUAYAAGUCUCNUGRAACAGAGCGUCAUASAGGGUGAGAAUCCCGUCUUUGACACGGACUACCAGUGCUUUGUGAUGCGCUCUCAAAGAGUCGAGUUGUUUGGGAAUGCAGCUCAAAAUGGGUGGUGAAUUCCAUCUAAAGCUAAAUAUUGGCGAGAGACCGAUAGCGAACAAGUACCGUGAGGGAAAGAUGAAAAGCACUUUGGAAAGAGAGUUAAACAGUACGUGAAAUUGCUGAAAGGGAAACGCUUGAAGUCAGUCGCGUCUGCCGGAACUCAGCCUUCCUUUUGGUUGGUGCACUUUCCGGUAGACGGGCCARCAUCGAUUUCGACCGUCGGAUAAGGGCUGGGGAAAUGUGGCACCUUCGGGUGUGUUAUAGUCCUCAGUCGCAUACSGCGGUUGGGAUCGAGGAACGCAGCGCGCCGCAAGGCAGGGGUUCGCCCACUUUCGCGCUUAGGAUGCUGGCAUAAUGGCUUUAARCGACCCGUCUUGAAACACGGACCAAGGAGUCUAACAAACCUGCGAGUGUUUGGGUGGAAAACCCGAGCGCGUAAUGAAAGUGAAAGUUGAGACCUCUGUCGUGGAGGGCAUCGACGCCCGGACCUGACGUUCUCUGACGGAUCCGCGGUAGAGCAUGUUUGUUGRGACUCGAAAGAUGGUGAACUAUGCCUGAAUAGGRUGAAGCCAGAGGAAACUCUGSUGGAGGCUCGUAUCGAUUCUGACGUGCAUAUCGAUCGUCAGAUUUGGGUAUAGGGGCGA
RNAcentral lists this ribosomal RNA (860 nucleotides) under Lentinus tigrinus. Its description in RNAcentral is "partial large subunit ribosomal RNA". The record is from RNAcentral. Lineage: Eukaryota; Fungi; Basidiomycota; Agaricomycetes; Polyporales; Polyporaceae.